CCGGGGUGGAGGGGGUGGAGGGGGUGUGGGCGCAGUUCCUGGGAAGGGGGCUGUGUUCAGAGUCAGGAUUCCAAAGACGGAGCAGCCGGACUGAGGACAGGCUGAAGGUGUGACUAGAGGGGUGGGCGGAUUUAGUUAGCAGACAAGAUUGUUGGUGAUGAAAGAGGAAGCCAAAUGCCAGGCCUGCAGAUCUGUCUCUGGAUUUUGAAGCCUCCGGGGAUGGCGGCAGUCCAGUGACGAGAAGGUUGUGAGAUCUCCUAGGGUGAUUCCGAGUGUGGAGAGGCCCGAGAAGCAUCGUUCUAGAACCUCAUUGUGGCCCCCGGAGAGGCUGUGAUGACCAUCCCUGCAGAAUCCAGGAGGCUUUCUGUCCAACUGAAGGAACACAGUCUGGUAGGCCAAGACUCUUGUGACGUUCUGCAAGGAUUCCUGACUUGGGAUUCCGGAAGAUCUCUGGACAGACCUCUGCGCUGUGCAAGAGUCCAUCCUGUCUCUCAUCGGCUUUGGCCUUGCACUGAGCUUCUCCGUGCGAAACUGCUAACUUGUCGAGAACAACUGUUCAGCAAAAGCCAAAGCUCCCAUUCAAGCUGAAGACUGAAAACUCGACAAGUGAAUGUCUUCCACCUACUUGACGCUCUCCGGCAGGAGAAACACCUCUGUGAAAACACUGCUGACUGUGGAUUCCAGGGUGCUGUGGACUCAGUCUCCAUGAAGUCUCCCUGAAGAACGGUUCUAUGGUUUGAAUGCUGGGAGACUAAAGUCUAUAAAGUAACAGUAUAUAUAAAAAUGGCUGAUGGCUAUGCACUUCAGUCACGGACGUCUCACCCCAAAUGCGGCCCUGGCUUUGGAGGCGCUUACAUGGCUCAUGUGAGGAUGGGGAUUUUUCUGCGUAGCUGAGGUGAGCAGCCUCGCCUGUGUUCAUGCUGUUUAUGAAAAGGCUGUUGGCUGUGAGCGCCUCGGUGUUACACGUUUGGCAUCGCCUUGUGCCUAAUUAUCAGUUCUGAAUCUAACUUCUGUUCCUCCCAGAUCACUUUAAGGAAAUCUGCAUGAAUUUGGUGAGAGGAAAAUGAAAACAGAAUGAAACCUCUGCCUUUAGAUCUCCAAAUUCAGAAGAAAGGAAGCUAAUUUCUUCUUGAGUAACAACCACAAUUUUCGCUUCACUGGACAUAGUACUUUCAUUUGCAUAUAUAAAACUUAUUUCUACAUGGAUGCUUUUUCCACUCCAAAACUAAUUGUUAGAGAACUAAAAGAUGAUUUAAAACACACAAAGCCCAAUGAAAAAUAUGUGUUAAGAACAACUCUUUAAAAACUGUUUUGUAAAGAUUUAUAUGUAUUUCGAUAAUUUCUAUAACCAAAAUCCAACUUGAGACAUGUUGUGUAUCAAUGAGUAACAUACUAGGUUCAUAAUGACAUAAUUUUUGAUACGGGAAAUUCAAGUGAAAAAAUGUGAGAAUAAGACAACUGUACUUGAAGUGAGCCUUUCCCCACACCUGUUUGUCAUAAAGGUCCUGUUGACUCUACAGGUUUUCUUUUCUUUUCUUUUGUCAGACAGCUUUUCCUGAGUUUUUCUACCAAACUCAGGGUAGAUAGUGUUGUCCACCACUAGAUGGCACCAGGCACAAGUGGCAGAUUUUUUUUUUUCCUUCCAGAUGAAGUCAGCAGCUCUUUCCUCACAAGCUACAUAGAAGCGCUAGGAAUUAAAGGCAGGACGUGUCACAGAAGGGCUGAUGAAGUAACUCCCCAUGUGCUGGACUGUUGAGUCUGCACCUUCUGCAUUUGAGAGCAACCUAACAGCUGGUACUUCACUCCUUACAAGAAGGAAAUCAGAACUUGCAGUGAAAAUUAUUUGAUGUAAAUGAUGUGUUGGACGUACGGACAUGGACAUUCAGUUGACAGGGAACAUGACGUGAUGGGGUCCAUGACAGGUCAGAAGCUGUCCCUCCAACCACACUGCCUCCACAGCAGACAGAGGACCAACAGGCGGCGUGUGGGGCCACGUGACCACAAUACCAAGUGAGCUUUCCUGGAGGUGCGUCCCAUGACAAGACUCAGGACAAAGCCCCUUCCUGAGCAAGUGGAAAGAACAGACUGAUGAAGUCAGCACGCAUGGACCACCUUUCCAGGACAGAGCGGUGGGAGAAAGCCCAGGCUCUGAGCAUCUUUGACAAGUCACGCCACGCCUUUUGGUUGGUAGUGAUGGCAACGUCCUACAAAGCAGCUCCUGAGGUCUUUUUAUAACUUAAUAGCAAUGCUGUGUUUAGCACGUUACUUACCCAUCCAGCAUUAGGUCCUACUCAACAGAGGAGGGACAAUAGCUACUGAAUGGAUGUAUUAUUUAGGAGGACUUAACUCCCCAGCUUUGCAAAGUGGACUACAAAACUUGAUCCUUAAAUACAUCAGAUAAGCCCAGGAUGUCUCUCAACGUGUCUGCAAGACCACAGUGCCAGAUACAAGGUAAGAGCUUAAUACAUGUUGGUGGAAUGGAAAGUAAGUAAAUCUACAGGUGGAAAAAAAGGAAUGUUGCCCAAAACAGCCUGACAGUUACAAGUCCUGGAGCCCGGCCACACCCACCUGUC
This is a long non-coding RNA of Camelus dromedarius (Arabian camel), 2573 nucleotides long. RefSeq lists it as uncharacterized. Lineage: Eukaryota; Metazoa; Chordata; Mammalia; Artiodactyla; Camelidae. The transcript is spliced from 7 exons. The record is from RefSeq and is a predicted model, not a curated record.